CGGGACUUAGUGCCGAUGCUAACGCAUUAAGCACUCCGCCUGGGGAGUACGACCGCAAGGUUGAAACUCAAAGGAAUUGACGGGGGCCCGCACAAGCGGUGGAGCAUGUGGUUUAAUUCGAAGCAACGCGAAGAACCUUACCAGGUCUUGACAUCCCGAUGCCCGCUCUAGAGAUAGAGUUUUUCUUCGGAACAUCGGAGACAGGUGGUGCAUGGUUGUCGUCAGCUCGUGUCGUGAGAUGUUGGGUUAAGUCCCGCAACGAGCGCAACCCUUAUUGUUAGUUGCCAUCAUUAAGUUGGGCACUCUAGCGAGACUGCCGGUAAUAAACCGGAGGAAGGUGGGGAUGACGUCAAAUCAUCAUGCCCCUUAUGACCUGGGCUACACACGUGCUACAAUGGUUGGUACAACGAGUCGCAAGCCGGUGACGGCAAGCUAAUCUCUGAAAGCCAAUCUCAGUUCGGAUUGUAGGCUGCAACUCGCCUACAUGAAGUCGGAAUCGCUAGUAAUCGCGGAUCAGCACGCCGCGGUGAAUACGUUCCCGGGCCUUGUACACACCGCCCGUCACACCACGAGAGUUUGUAACACCCAAAGUC
This 593-nucleotide ribosomal RNA is filed under the name uncultured bacterium. RNAcentral describes it as "bacterial SSU rRNA". It matches the Rfam family "Bacterial small subunit ribosomal RNA", at positions 834 to 1428 of the family's 1533-position model. The record is from RNAcentral.